This 494-nucleotide ribosomal RNA is filed under the name uncultured bacterium. RNAcentral's name for it is "partial 16S ribosomal RNA". It matches the Rfam family "Bacterial small subunit ribosomal RNA", at positions 28 to 507 of the family's 1533-position model. The record is from RNAcentral.
GACGAACGCUGGCGGCGCGCUUAACACAUGCAAGUCGAACGGAAAGGCCUGCUUUCCCUUGUGGAUUGCGGGUACUCGAGUGGCGAACGGGUGAGUAACACGUGAGUGAUCUGCCCCCAACUUGGGUAUAAGCCUGGGAAACUGGGUCUAAUUCCCGAUAGGACUGCAGGGUGGUGCCUGUGGUGGAAAACGAUUUUCUAGUGGUUGGGGAUGAGCUCGCGGCCUAUCAGCUUGUUGGUGGGGUAAUGGCCUACCAAGGCGGCGACGGGUAGCCGGCCUGAGAGGGUGGACGGCCACAUUGGGACUGAGAUACGGCCCAGACUCCUACGGGAGGCAGCAGUGGGGAAUAUUGCACAAUGGGCGGAAGCCUGAUGCAGCGACGCCGCGUGGGGGAUGACGGGCUUCGGGUUGUAAACUCCUUUCGACCGCGAGGAAGCCACCUGGUUGGAAGGGUGGUGACGGUAGUGGUAGAAGAAGCACCGGCUAACUACGUG